GGCGACCGGGUGAGUAACACGUGACUACCUGCCCUUGAGUGGGGGAUAACCUCGGGAAACCGAGGCUAAUACCGCAUAACCGCAAGCAAAGGAGCGCUUUUGGAGGGGGUCGCGGCUGAUUAGCUAGUUGGUAGGGUAAUGGCCUACCAAGGCAAAGAUCGGUAUCCGGCCUGAGAGGGCGCACGGACACACUGGAACUGAGGCACGGUCCAGACUCCUACGGGAGGCAGCAGUGGGGAAUUUUGCGCAAUGGGGGAAACCCUGACGCAGCAACGCCGCGUGGAGGAUGAAGGCCCUUGGGUCGUAAACUCCUUUCGACCGGGAAGAUUGACGGUACCGGUGGAAGAAGCACCGGCUAACUCUGUGCCAGCAGCCGCGGUAAUACAGAGGGUGCGAGCGUUGUUCGGAAUUAUUGGGCGUAAAGGGCGCGUAGGCGGUGCGGUAAGUCACCUGUGAAAUCCCCGGGCUUAACUCGGGGCCUGCAGGCGAAAC
This 492-nucleotide ribosomal RNA is filed under the name uncultured soil bacterium. RNAcentral describes it as "bacterial SSU rRNA". It matches the Rfam family "Bacterial small subunit ribosomal RNA", at positions 97 to 633 of the family's 1533-position model. The record is from RNAcentral.